Molecule: long non-coding RNA, 3644 nt
Organism: Falco peregrinus (peregrine falcon)
Lineage: Eukaryota; Metazoa; Chordata; Aves; Falconiformes; Falconidae
Exons: 3
Source: RefSeq, a predicted model, not a curated record
UUGAUCCCCGCCGCCGCCGCUCUUUGCUCGGCGCCGCCCGGGAGCAUGGAGCAGCGCUAGCGGCGAUGGAGCCGCCUGGCCCCCGCCCCGCCGCCCCCGAGGUGACAGCGGGGCCGGGGGGGCGGCCGCCGCUCCGCCCCGGCGGGAGGGAGGGAAGUUGCGCGGGAUGAAGUUGCGGGGAGCGCGGCCCCCCGCGCCGCUCCGCCAAGUUUGUGGCGGUGCCCGCCCGCGGAGCGCAGCCGCAGGUGCCCGCGGGCCGCCAAGUGUCCCCGCCGCCUGUCGCCCCCCCGCCGCGGCGGGGCCGGCCCGCUCCCCGCUGCCCGGGGCCGGCGGGGGCGCGGUAGCCCGGGGCGGGCGGAGCGGCGCCGGCCGGAGCCCCGCCGCGCUGCCAUUGUUACCGCGGGCCGGGGCCGGCCGGCGGCGUGCGGGACCGGGGCGGGCUGCGGCGCGGGGGCGGGGGGCGCCUUUGUGGCGCUGGGCAGGUCCCGGCCGCCGUGCCCCGCCGUGGUGCCCUCGGCGGUAACGAUGUUGAAUGCUACAAUCAUCCGGGAGUUAAGUGCUUGUUUUUUGGAGGAAGAAGCUAAUAUUCCUUAACGUGGUUUCUUGCCUCAGCCUGCAGGCAAGGAUUUAAGCCAGAAACACCGUCAAUCGAGUUUGCCCUGCCAGCAUCAACUCACCUUGGAGGUGUCAGCCCUGCAACGGUGCUUAACUCACGAUGCGCCUCCCCAGCUGGAUGCUGGCACCCAUCAGGGCUGCAUCCUAAAAGCUGGUACCCUGGGGUUUCCCUCCUUGCCUUUACACUUUACACAGAUUUCCAAACUCUGCACCAGUCAACAGACAUUCAGAGCACCGAGAAGCUUCAACACAGGGAUGGAGCAGGGGUCUGUGGGCUGCCGGCACACCGGGCUUGUGCCACAGUGCCAAAAGGGAGCAAUGCUGUUGUGGUUUCCUAUUUGCCUUCUCUACUCUGUGCCGGGGCAGACUUGUGUCCCCUGGCAGGACCACCUGUGUCCGGGGAGGAUGCUCGCUGCCGGAGCAGAGGAGCUGCUGGAAAAUCUCUCUUGGAAGCCCAGCAGUACCAGUUUACUGCAGGCAGAGGAGAGCAGGCUGAGCCCUCACCAUUAAGCAACGCUCUCUUCCCGCUGCGGUGCGUCCGUGCUUAACUUGCCAUCGGUCAGAGAAAGACAACACACGUGGGGACGAGUGUGUGUGGCAAUGCGGGGCCUUCCCAAAGCGUCAGCUCUUGCGCUGGACUGGAGCGGCAGAUCUGGAGAGGGCCAGACGGGCUGUCGGGAGCACUGAGCAUCAGACACCGUGUGGCCUCUGGAGCUUCAGGGCUGGGUUGCUUCUCCCUGGGGGGUGCAUCCCAGGACGUAAAGCCCCCGUUCCUGAAGCAUGGGUGUCCACAGUCCUCCUGGCGUGCCCGGGGUGAGAGCAGCAGGGAUACAGGGACUGUCUGGCAGCAGGGCCAUCCCUGCACGGUGCUGACUGCUGGUUGCAUCGUCUCACUCAGCCCCAGCUUUGGGGACACCAGUUUUUGCCAGAGAAAUGGGUGGGACUCCCUGCAGAGCCCAGCUGGGCAAAGGUGCCUGGGUGCUGUCCCUUCCCACCUCCUCCUGGGGACUUCAGAGCCUGUUGGGCCAUUUUGCCACCCAGCAGAGGAUUUCCCGCUGGCGAGGGCUACGCCUGCCCUCUGAGAGCAGUGUGUCCAGCUACGUCCUUUCCUCCUCCUGCAGGAGCAAGAAAUUGGACAAUGAAAAUGGAGCUGAUUGCUUGAGAGACGGCACGGCGGCCUGGGGCCAGGGGAUGGCACAGCGCAGCAUUUUAAAACUGCAGAGAGAAGACCGCAGAUGCUGGACGGUCACAGGGGAGCUAGACUGGUUUUCAGGUCAGGUGUGACUGUUGGAUUUGGGGGCUCAAGGAAGCCAGGCGCAGACUGAAGGAGAGCUAAAGCACGGGAUGUCAGAGGAAAGCCUGGCGAGGGUGAGCAGGGGAUGGUGCUGCCACAGCCUAGUUCCCGCAGUGAUGGAGGGAUGCAGAGAUGGAACUAGGAUCAGCCUCGUUCAGCUUCUCUGCCAGCGCAGAGACACCAAGGGGCAGCUAACAGAGGGCCUGCCCCAGCCCGCAGGACCAGGGAGCAGCUCACCUGAGCUCACAGCGCUGCUCAUUUCCCCCCGGAGGUGGCUGACAUCCCAUUCAUGGGUUACCUGCAGACGGGAGAGCGAGAGACUGCUCCAUCCCUUGUCUUUUGCUGGGACAGGGAUGAUGCAGAGCAUCGUGGUCCCUGAGCGGAGGCUGAAAUGGGGGUGUAGGAGCCCCAGGAAGCCUUGUCACCCCCCUUGCAGCCCUCCCCGCUGUGCAGUGCCCAUUGGGAGCCGCAUUUCACAGCCCGUGUCUGGCUGCAUGGCUGGGACCUGGCCAAAGUGGAUGCGCAGCCCCUCCAGGUACGAUGUGUGGUUUCUUAAAACCACCUGAUCAGCCAGGCCUGAUCCUGCACCUGUGAAACCCACCGAAUUGCUGGAAAAAAAUGUUUUCUGACAGGAUGGAGAUUUGCAGGGGUGUUGCCAAGCAACUGGCUCAGCUCUGCUGCCUCCUGCUCCUCUCCUCCUCCUGAAGAGUGAGCAGGCAGGGGAUGGCUGCAUCCCUGCAUCCCUCUGCCCUGCCUGGCCAGGGCAGCCUGCCUCUGCCUGCCUGGGGAGGUACCACUGGGGAAGGCAAGGACCACUUGUGGCUGGUGGGCUGGGAUGCUGCUGGCCGGUGGGGGUGAGCGCUGCUGCACGCCCAACCCAUGGCAAAUCUCCAUCAGCAGCAGGGUUAGAAACAGGCUCUCUCUUCCAGCCCUUCUCUGAGCUGUGCAGCUUCCCUUUGAACUAGUCCCAGGAAUGUGUGCUGACACACCGAGCAAAACGCUCAGGAGGACUCAUUAUAACCCGACUUUGAUUAGUGCCACCUCUGCAUUUCUUUGGGAGUUGCUUCGCAUUUACCCUAAGAGAAGUUGGCAGCCCGAACCCUUGGGAUUUUCUUUUCUAAAGCUUUAAUUUAAAUCAACUCUUGGGCAAUAAACUGCCGGUUACAAAACUCAGCUGAUGUCCCUUGUAAGGCCUUGGACCUGCAGCCAGGGCCAUGAAGCAACGGCUGGCAGGAGGGGAGGCAACUGAUAGCUGCGAUCUUGCAAAAGAUCAGUUGCUGAGUGAGUGGCAAUAAAGAGCAAAUCCAGCCAGCUUGUAGAAAUGGCAAAUGGGCCAGACUGCUGAGAACAAUCUGUUCCUUCUCUAGAGAAGGGCUGUGGUGCUGGCGAUGGGCUGGGCAAGGGGCUAUUCUCAGUGUGAGCUGCUCUGAAAUUCUGCUUCAGAAAAACGGCAGGGCCGAGACAGGCUAAUUACCAGGAGACAUGUCCUAAAUCAAAUAAAAAGGCUGCAAGUGGCUUGCCAGGCUGACUCUUCACCAGGGAGGUUUGUGCUGAAGGAGCCCUGCUCUGCCUGGUCCCACAGACCCGCUCGCUGCUGUGUCCAAAGCUUUCUGCUCCAGCAGCACAGCUGCCAGGCUGAUGCUGGGGCAGGGAAACCCUGCUGAUCCACCUCAGGUCAUCCACCGGCCUUUGACUGUGCACUUUACUGUCUCGUUCCAUCACCUACCUAAUCGGG